This 254-nucleotide ribosomal RNA is filed under the name uncultured bacterium. Its description in RNAcentral is "partial 16S ribosomal RNA". It matches the Rfam family "Bacterial small subunit ribosomal RNA", at positions 524 to 776 of the family's 1533-position model. The record is from RNAcentral.
UACAGAGGGUGCGAGCGUUGUCCGGAAUCACUGGGCGUAAAGGGCGCGUAGGCGGCCACCGCAGGUCGACUGUGAAAUCUCCGGGCUUAACCCGGAAAGGUCAGCCGAUACUGCGGGGCUAGAGUGCAGAAGGGGCAGCUGGAAUUCUCGGUGUAGCGGUGAAAUGCGUAGAUAUCGAGAGGAACGCCUGCGGCGAAGGCGGGUUGCUGGGCUGACACUGACGCUGAGGCGCGAAAGCUAGGGGAGCGAACGGG